RNAcentral lists this ribosomal RNA (492 nucleotides) under uncultured bacterium. RNAcentral's name for it is "partial 16S ribosomal RNA". It matches the Rfam family "Bacterial small subunit ribosomal RNA", at positions 28 to 507 of the family's 1533-position model. The record is from RNAcentral.
GAUGAACGCUGGCUACAGGCUUAACACAUGCAAGUCGAGGGGAAACGACAUCGAAAGCUUGCUUUUGAUGGGCGUCGACCGGCGCACGGGUGAGUAACGCGUAUCCAACCUGCCCAUCACUUGGGAAUAACCUUGCGAAAGUAAGACUAAUACCCAAUGACAUCCCACGAAGACAUCUGAAUGGGAUUAAAGAUUUAUCGGUGAUGGAUGGGGAUGCGUCUGAUUAGCUUGUUGGCGGGGUAACGGCCCACCAAGGCAACGAUCAGUAGGGGUUCUGAGAGGAAGGUCCCCCACAUGGGAGCUGAGACACGGUCCAAACUCCUACGGGAGGCAGCAGUGAGGAAUAUUGGUCAAUGGGCGAGAGCCUGAACCAGCCAAGUAGCGUGCAGGAUGACGGCACUAUGGGUUGUAAACUGCUUUUAUAAGGGAAUAAAGUGGAUCUCGGGAGACUUUUUGCAUGUACCUUAUGAAUAAGGACAGGCUAAUUCCGUG